GAUCAGUCAUUCCUGGAGUCUGAACUGGUCUGAUGGUGGUUACUCUGUCUGUCACAAUAACAGAAGAACAAGCGUAACGUCCAUCUC
This is a long non-coding RNA of Etheostoma spectabile (orangethroat darter), 87 nucleotides long. RefSeq lists it as uncharacterized. NCBI's taxonomy places the organism in Eukaryota, Metazoa, Chordata, Actinopteri, Perciformes, Percidae. The record is from RefSeq and is a predicted model, not a curated record. The transcript is spliced from 3 exons.